UGGGGAAUUGUUCGCAAUGGGCGCAAGCCUGACGACGCAACGCCGCGUGGAGGAUGAAGGUCUUCGGAUUGUAAACUCCUGUUGCCCGGGACGAAAAGCCUUGACCUAACACGUCAAGGUCUGACGGUACCGGGUGAGGAAGCCCCGGCUAACUCUGUGCCAGCAGCCGCGGUAAUACAGAGGGGGCAAGCGUUGUUCGGAAUUACUGGGCGUAAAGGGCGCGUAGGCGGCCUGCUAAGUCGAACGUGAAAUCCCCGGGCUCAACCCGGGAACUGCGUCCGAUACUGGUUGGCUUGAAUUCGGGAGAGGGAUGCGGAAUUCCAGGUGUAGCGGUGAAAUGCGUAGAUAUCUGGAGGAAUACCGGUGGCGAAGGCGGCAUCCUGGACCGGCAUUGACGCUGAUGAGCGAAAGCCAGGGGAGCAAA
RNAcentral lists this ribosomal RNA (424 nucleotides) under uncultured bacterium. RNAcentral describes it as "bacterial SSU rRNA". It matches the Rfam family "Bacterial small subunit ribosomal RNA", at positions 355 to 772 of the family's 1533-position model. The record is from RNAcentral.